This 253-nucleotide ribosomal RNA is filed under the name uncultured bacterium. RNAcentral describes it as "partial 16S ribosomal RNA". It matches the Rfam family "Bacterial small subunit ribosomal RNA", at positions 524 to 776 of the family's 1533-position model. The record is from RNAcentral.
UACGUAGGGCGCAAGCGUUGUCCGGAAUUAUUGGGCGUAAAGAGCUUGUAGGCGGUUUGUCACGUCUGCUGUGAAAAUCCGGGGCUCAACCCCGGACUUGCAGUGGGUACGGGCAGACUAGAGUGUGGUAGGGGAGACUGGAAUUCCUGGUGUAGCGGUGAAAUGCGCAGAUAUCAGGAGGAACACCGAUGGCGAAGGCAGGUCUCUGGGCCACUACUGACGCUGAGAAGCGAAAGCAUGGGGAGCGAACAGG